This 492-nucleotide ribosomal RNA is filed under the name uncultured bacterium. RNAcentral describes it as "partial 16S ribosomal RNA". It matches the Rfam family "Bacterial small subunit ribosomal RNA", at positions 29 to 507 of the family's 1533-position model. The record is from RNAcentral.
AGUGAACGCUGGCGGUAGGCCUAACACAUGCAAGUCGAACGGCAGCACAGUAAGAGCUUGCUCUUACGGGUGGCGAGUGGCGGACGGGUGAGGAAUACAUCGGAAUCUACUUUUUCGUGGGGGAUAACGUAGGGAAACUUACGCUAAUACCGCAUACGACCUACGGGUGAAAGCAGGGGAUCUUCGGACCUUGCGCGAUUGAAUGAGCCGAUGUCGGAUUAGCUAGUUGGCGGGGUAAAGGCCCACCAAGGCGACGAUCCGUAGCUGGUCUGAGAGGAUGAUCAGCCACACUGGAACUGAGACACGGUCCAGACUCCUACGGGAGGCAGCAGUGGGGAAUAUUGGACAAGGGGCGCAAGCCUGAUCCAGCCAUACCGCGUGGGUGAAGAAGGCCUUCGGGUUGUAAAGCCCUUUUGUUGUGAAAGAAAAGCAGCAGGUUAAUACCCCGCUGUUCUGACGGUACCCAAAGAAUAAGCACCGGCUAACUUCGUG